GGAUGAACUGUGGAUAGCGGAGAAAUUCCAAUCGAACUCGGAGAUAGCUGGUUCUCCUCGAAAUAGCUUUAGGGCUAGCCUUGAGGUAAAACAUGUGGGGGUAGAGCACUGAAUGAUUUAGGGGCCAAACCAGGUUACCGACAUCUAUCAAACUGCGAAUACCAUGUGGAAGUACUCAGGAGUCAGACUGCGGGAGCUAAGUUCCGUGGUCAAAAGGGAAAGAGCCCAGACCGACAAUUAAGGUCCCAAAGAGAUAGUUAAGUGGAAAACGAUGUGAAAAUGCAAAGACAACCAGGAUGUUGGCUUAGAAGCAGCCAUACAUUAAAAGAGUGCGUAACAGCUCACUGGUCGAGUGAAUUUGCGCGGAAAAUUACCGGGGCUAAACUAUCCACCGAAAUUACGGAUUGCAGUACAUUUAACAAUGUAUGCGGAAAGAGAAAAGAAGUAUAUAUUGUUAAGUGUACUGUAGUGGUAGAGGAGCAUUCUGUAGUAGGAAGAAGCUAAAGUGAGAGCAUUAGUGGACGAGACAGAAGAGAGAAUGCUGGAAUAAGUAGCGAGAGCAAGGUGAGAAUCCUUGCCGUCGAAAGUCUAAGGUUUCCUGGGGAAGGUUCGUCCGCCCAGGGUAAGUCGGGACCUAAGGAGAGGCCGAGAAGGCGUAUCUGAUGGACAGCAGGUUGAAAUUCCUGCACUACCGAUACUUUAAAAAACGUCAAGGGACGCAGGAGAGGAAGGAAAGCGAGGAAGAGGAAAGACUCGUAUCGAAAGAUAUAGUGAAAAAAUGAAGUAACGAAUUUCCAAGAAUCACACUGACGAGAAAAGCUUGAUGACAUUAAGUAAAGGUACCCGUACCGCAAACCGACACAGGUAGAUGAGGAGAGGAUCCUAAGACGAACGGGAGAAGCAUUGUUAAGGAACUCGGCAAAAUGACCCCGUAACUUCGGGAGAAGGGGAACCUAGGUAAAACUAGGUCGCAGAGAAAAGGCCCAAGCAACUGUUUAACAAAAACACAGGUUUCUGCUAAAUCGAAAGAUGAAGUAUAGGAGCUGACGCCUGCCCAGUGCUGGAAGGUCAAGGGGAGAUGUUAGGAGAAAUUCGAAGCAUAGAACCAAAGCCCCAGUGAACGGCGGCCGUAACUAUAACGGUCCUAAGGUAGCGAAAUUCCUUGUCAGGUAAGUUCUGACCCGCACGAAAGGCGUAAUGAUUUGGGCACUGUCUCGACAAUGUACCCGGCGAAAUUGUAGUACUAGUGAAGAUGCUAGUUACCUGCGACAAGACAGAAAGACCCCAUGGAGCUUUACUGUAGUUUGAUAUUGGGUUUUGGUAAUUUAUGUACAGGAUAGGUGGGAGACAGAGAAGGAUGUGCGUCAGCAUAUCUGGAGUCAACGUUGGGAUACCACUCUUAAGUUAUUGAAAUUCUAACUUGUGAUCAUAAACUGGUCAGAGGACAAUGUCAGACGGGCAGUUUGACUGGGGCGGUCGCCUCCAAAAGAGUAACGGAGGCGCCCAAAGGUUCCCUCAGUGCGGACAGAAAUCGCACAAAAGAGUGUAAAGGCAGAAGGGAGCUUAACUGGAAGAUAGACAUAUCGAGCAGAUACGAAAGUAGGGCUUAGUGAUCCGGUGGAAUUGAAUGGAAAAGCCAUCGCUCAACGGACAAAAGUUACCCUGGGGAUAACAGGCUUAUCUCCCCCAAGAGUUCACAUCGACGGGGAGGUUUGGCACCUCGAUGUCGGCUCAUCGCAUCCUGGAGCGGAAGUACGUUCCAAGGGUUGGGCUGUUCGCCCAUUAAAGCGGUACGCGAGCUGGGUUCAGAACGUCGUGAGACAGUUCGGUCCUUAUCUGUCGCAGGCGGAAGAUAUUUGAAGGGAGCUGUCCUUAGUACGAGAGGACCAGGAUGGACAUACCGAUGGUUUAUCAGUUGUCACACCAGUGGCAUGGCUGAGUAGCCAAGUAUGGAAGGGAUAAACGCUGAAAGCAUCUAAGUGUGAAGCCCACCCUAAGAUAAGAUAUCUCAUACCGUAAGGUAGUAAGAUUCCAUAAAGACUAUGUGGUUGAUAGGUUGGAGGUGUAAGUACAGUAAUGUAUUGAGCUGACCAAUACUAAUAAAUCGAGGGCUUAACCA
Molecule: ribosomal RNA, 2119 nt
Filed under: human gut metagenome
Description: bacterial LSU rRNA
Rfam family: Bacterial large subunit ribosomal RNA
Source: RNAcentral